AGAUUGAACGCUGGCGGCAUGCCUUACACAUGCAAGUCGAACGGCAGCACGGGAGCAAUCCUGGUGGCGAGUGGCGAACGGGUGAGUAAUACAUCGGAACGUGCCCAAUCGUGGGGGGAUAACGCAGCGAAAGCUGUGCUAAUACCGCAUAAGAUCUACGGAUGAAAGCAGGGGAUCGCAAGACCUUGCGCGAAUGGAGCGGCCGAUGGGCAGAUUAGGUAGUUGGUGAGGUAAAGGCUCACCAAGCCUUCGAUCUGUAGCUGGUCUGAGAGGACGACCAGCCACACUGGGACUGAGACACGGCCCAGACUCCUACGGGAGGCAGCAGUGGGGAAUUUUGGACAAGUGGGACGAAAGCCUGAUCCAGCCAUGCCGCGUGACGAGGAUGAAGGCCUUACGGGUUGUAAACGUG
RNAcentral lists this ribosomal RNA (412 nucleotides) under uncultured soil bacterium. RNAcentral's name for it is "bacterial SSU rRNA". It matches the Rfam family "Bacterial small subunit ribosomal RNA", at positions 26 to 433 of the family's 1533-position model. The record is from RNAcentral.